RNAcentral lists this ribosomal RNA (1161 nucleotides) under Triticum aestivum (bread wheat). Its description in RNAcentral is "partial small subunit ribosomal RNA". Lineage: Eukaryota; Viridiplantae; Streptophyta; Magnoliopsida; Poales; Poaceae. The record is from RNAcentral.
AUGCUCCGGCUACGAAGCUCCAUCAUCGCCCGUCUCCUCUCUUCUUCUCCAGCCACCUCUCCCGCAUCCCCUCUCCGCCGCCUCCUCUCUGUCUCUGCCGUAGCGCCCGCAAUCUCCCCAAGCGCCAGAUUCGCCGCGGAGGACUACCUCGUCGCCACCUGCGGCCUCACCCGACCUCAGGCCCUCAAGGCCGCCCCGAAGCUCUCCCACCUCAAAUCCCCCACCAAUCCCGACGCCGUCCUCGCCUUCCUCGCCGGUCUCGGCCUCUCUGGUGCCGAUGUCGCUGCCGUCGUCGCCAAGGACCCGCAGCUCCUCUGCGCCAAGGUGGAGAAAACCCUGGGCCCCAAUGUCGCGGAGCUCACCGGCCUCGGCCUCUCGCGCCCUGAGAUCGCGCGCCUCGUCCCGCUCGCCGGCGCCACUUUCCGCUGUAGAUCCAUCAUCUCCGGGCUGCAGUACUGCUUGCCCCUCUUCGGGUCCUCCGAGAACCUCCUUCGAGCUCUCAAGAGUGGCUCUGUUCUCGGCGCCGACCUCGAGCGGGUGGUCAAGCCCAAUGUCACCUUCCUGCAGGAGUGCGGGCUAGGUGUUUGCGAUAUUGCCAAGCUCUACGUGAUUAGGCCAUCGCUGCUCAGCAUCAGCACGGAACGCAUCCGGACAGCAGUGGCCUGCGCCGAAGGUCUUGGUGUACCCCGUAGGUCUCAGAUGUUCAGACAUGCGCUACAAGCUGUUGCAUUCCUCAGCGAGGAGAAAAUCGCCGCCAAAGUGGAGCACCUGAAGAAAGCGUUCAGGUGGUCGGAUGCCGAGGUGGGCAUUGCUUUUUCUAAGGCUCCAGCGUUGCUCAUGAGGGCUAAGGAAUCGCUGCAGCGCAGGUCCGAGUUCCUCAUCUCCGAGGUGGGCUUGCAACCGGCUUACAUUGCUCAACAGCCGGCAAUUGUCUGUUACAGCCUAGAGGGCCGGCUCAGGCCCCGGUACUAUGUUGUAAAGUUUCUCAAGGAAAAUGGAUUGCUCAUGCGUGACCCGAGCUACAGUACUGUUUUCAAGAAGGCUGAGAAGGUGUUCAGGGAGAAGUUCAUAUGCCCUUACAAGGAAGCUGCACCACACCUCGAAGAAGACUAUGAUGCUGCUUGUAAAGGGGAAAUGGCGGCUAAUUUCAGAUUCACAUGA